Gymnogyps californianus (California condor) is the source of this 456-nucleotide non-coding RNA. Lineage: Eukaryota; Metazoa; Chordata; Aves; Accipitriformes; Cathartidae. The record is from the annotation of a RefSeq genome assembly.
AUGCGGCGGUGCCGGGGCGCAGGGCUGGCGGGGCUGGCCGCGGUGCUCCUGGUGGCUGCGGGCAGAGCCCAGGUGCAGCAGGAGCCGUCGGCAGAGACCACCGAGGGCACCAGCAUCAGCAUCAGCUGCUCACACCCCAACAUACAGACCGGAGACUUCAUCCACUGGUACCGUCAGCUCCCGGGCCGAAGCCCCGCAUUCCUCGUGAGCGGCACUAAAGGGUCCCAAGAGCUGCGGGACCCUGCGGGGCGGCUGUCGGUGGCGGCAGACCGCCGGUCCAGCGCCCUGUGGCUCGCCCGGCCCCGGCGCGGGGACGCGGCGGUGUAUUACUGCGCCCUGGGAGACACGGGGAGAGGAGCCGGGCUGCGGCCGGGCAGGAACCGCGGCGGGCGGGGCCGGGCGUGUGUCAUCCCCAGACAAGGAGUCGAUAGUGAUACCUCAAAGGAUGGGAAGUAG